AGCAGCCGCGGUAAUUCCAGCUCCAAUAGCGUAUAUUAAAGUUGCUGCAGUUAAAAAGCUCGUAGUUGGAUCUUGGGAGCGGGCGGGCGGUCCGCCGCGAGGCGAGCCACCGCCCGUCCCCGCCCCUUGCCUCUCGGCGCCCCCUCGAUGCUCUUAGCUGAGUGUCCCGCGGGGCCCGAAGCGUUUACUUUGAAAAAAUUAGAGUGUUCAAAGCAGGCCCGAGCCGCCUGGAUACCGCAGCUAGGAAUAAUGGAAUAGGACCGCGGUUCUAUUUUGUUGGUUUUCGGAACUGAGGCC
Molecule: ribosomal RNA, 297 nt
Filed under: uncultured Glomus
Lineage: Eukaryota; Fungi; Glomeromycota; Glomeromycetes; Glomerales; Glomeraceae
Description: partial small subunit ribosomal RNA
Rfam family: Eukaryotic small subunit ribosomal RNA
Source: RNAcentral